AUUAUCGAUACCGCCAGCUCAGGCUACUAUCACAAAGUAAUUGAUUGUCCAGAGAAUGCUCGCUAUAGAUCAGUUGAUGGGUCUUGUAACAACUUAAGACAUCCAACUUGGGGACAGGCUGGAACAGCUCAGAGAAGACUGAAGGAUAUAAAUGGAAGACCGAUGGUAUCAUAUGAGGACGGGAAAAGCUUGCCAAGAGGUUUUCCGAACAGACUUCCCGAUCCACGACUGGUUAGUAAUGUAGCUUCUGAUCCUGCAUUAGGACCAUUUAAUCAGUUUGAUAAAAUCAGAACAGGGCAACACAUGGCAUUUGGGCAAUUACUGGCACACGAUUUUAUAGAAACGGAUAU
Long non-coding RNA from Mytilus trossulus (common blue mussel), 350 nucleotides. RefSeq lists it as uncharacterized. The transcript is spliced from 3 exons. The record is from RefSeq and is a predicted model, not a curated record. NCBI's taxonomy places the organism in Eukaryota, Metazoa, Mollusca, Bivalvia, Mytilida, Mytilidae.